Molecule: small nucleolar RNA, 136 nt
Organism: Erinaceus europaeus (western European hedgehog)
Lineage: Eukaryota; Metazoa; Chordata; Mammalia; Eulipotyphla; Erinaceidae
Source: Ensembl
CGCAGCUGCGUCAAAUUCAGUGCCUGCCGCCCCCAUGGCAGACACUGGCCCCAAAGGCUGCCACAGGAACACUGUGACUCAUGGGCCCUGAGCCCCCCCUCCUGGGGCUGAGGGAUAAAUUUGGUUACAGACACCU